AGAGUUUGAUCAUGGCUCAGAACGAACGCUGGCGGCGUGCCUAACACAUGCAAGUCGGACGGAGCCAUUUUGAAGUAGCGAUACGGAGAGAUGGGUUAGUGGCGGACGGGUGAGUAACACGUAGGUAACCUACCCUUGGGCGGGGGAUAAUUCCGCGAAAAGCGGGACUAAUACCCCAUAAGACCACGUAUUGAAAUAUAUGUGGUAAAAAGUAGCAAUACACCGAUGGAGGGGCCUGCGGCCUAUCAGGUAGUUGGAGGGGUAACGGCCCACCAAGCCGGAGACGGGUAGCCGGGCUGAGAGGUUGGACGGCCACACUGGAACUGAGAUACGGUCCAGACUCCUACGGGAGGCAGCAGUGGGGAAUAUUGCACAAUGGGCGGAAGCCUGAUGCAGCGACGCCGCGUGGAGGAUGAAGGCCUUCGGGUUGUAAACUCCUUUUCUUGGGAAAGAUGAUGACGGUACCCAAGGAAUAAGCCACGGCUAACUCUGUGCCAGCAGCCGCGGUAAGACAGAGGUGGCGAGCGUUGUUCGGAAUUACUGGGCUUAAAGGGCGAGUAGGCGGUGGGGCAAGUCUGAGGUGGAAUCUUAGGGCUUAACCCUAAAAUUGCCUUAGAAACUGCUUUACUUGAGUCAGUGAGGGGAGGGCGGAAUUCCUGGUGUAGCGGUGAAAUGCGUAGAUAUCAGGAGGAAGGCCUGUGGCGAAGGCGGCCCUCUGGCACUGUACUGACGCUGAGGCGCGAAAGCGUGGGGAGCAAACAGGAUUAGAUACCCUAGUAGUCC
RNAcentral lists this ribosomal RNA (783 nucleotides) under uncultured bacterium. Its description in RNAcentral is "bacterial SSU rRNA". It matches the Rfam family "Bacterial small subunit ribosomal RNA", at positions 8 to 796 of the family's 1533-position model. The record is from RNAcentral.